GAUGAACGCUAGCGAUAGGCUUAACACAUGCAAGUCGAGGGGUAGCAGGGAGCAAGUUUACUUGCUCUGCUGACGACCGGCGGAUGGGUGAGUAACGCGUAUGCAACUUACCCCAUACACAGGGAUAGCCCGUUGAAAGACGGAUUAAUACCUGAUAUUAUUAACAUUCCGCAUGGGAUAUUAAUGAAAGAUUAAUUGGUAUGGGAUGGGCAUGCGUUCCAUUAGUUAGUUGGUGAGGUAACGGCUCACCAAGACUACGAUGGAUAGGGGAACUGAGAGGUUUACUCCCCCACACUGGAACUGAGACACGGACCAGACCUCCUACGGGAGGCAGCAGUGAGGAAUAUUGGUCAAUGGGACGAGAGUCUAGAACCAGCCAAGUCGCGUGAAGGAAGACUGCCUUAUGGGUUNUAAACUUCUUUUAUAGGGGAAUAAAGUGCUCUACGUGUAGUAGUUUUGC
RNAcentral lists this ribosomal RNA (460 nucleotides) under uncultured Porphyromonadaceae bacterium. RNAcentral describes it as "bacterial SSU rRNA". It matches the Rfam family "Bacterial small subunit ribosomal RNA", at positions 28 to 472 of the family's 1533-position model. The record is from RNAcentral. Lineage: Bacteria; Pseudomonadati; Bacteroidota; Bacteroidia; Bacteroidales; Porphyromonadaceae.